RNAcentral lists this transfer RNA (69 nucleotides) under Ictidomys tridecemlineatus (thirteen-lined ground squirrel). RNAcentral describes it as "Spermophilus tridecemlineatus (thirteen-lined ground squirrel) tRNA". It matches the Rfam family "tRNA". Rfam says of the family: Transfer RNA (tRNA) molecules are approximately 80 nucleotides in length. Their secondary structure includes four short double-helical elements and three loops (D, anti-codon, and T loops). Further hydrogen bonds mediate the characteristic L-shaped molecular structure. tRNAs have two regions of fundamental functional importance: the anti-codon, which is responsible for specific mRNA codon recognition, and the 3' end, to which the tRNAs corresponding amino acid is attached (by aminoacyl-tRNA synthetases). tRNAs cope with the degeneracy of the genetic code in two manners: having more than one tRNA (with a specific anti-codon) for a particular amino acid; and 'wobble' base-pairing, i.e. permitting non-standard base-pairing at the 3rd anti-codon position. Lineage: Eukaryota; Metazoa; Chordata; Mammalia; Rodentia; Sciuridae. The record is from Rfam by way of RNAcentral.
AGAGUUGCGGCUCAGUGGUAGAGCGCUUGCCUGGCAUGCAUGAGGCCCUGGGUUUGAUCCUCAGCACUA